UGACGGCCCAGGACAGCUUGAGAAACAGAUGUAAAAAUUCCCGCGUCCAGCCCAAGAGUGGCCGUGGGCUCCUCCUGCCUCGCUCAGAGUCAGAAUCAAAUAAGGUGGUGAAGGUCCGAGCGGCCAUUUGACCUGCAGCUAUUCUGAAGAUCACAUAAGGAAGUUCUGGGAGCCAGAUCCACGGGACCUGGCAUGAAAUGGGAGGCGUUGUGCCUGCCUGGCAUACCGCAUUUCUUAGAUCACACCUUAGCAAGACCGCUACUGAAAUCAGAAGUACGUUUACCCUAAUGGGGGAACUAAGCAAAAGAAAAUUAUCUCGGAUCAAGGAUCUUUUCUACUUCUCUAAUUCAACUCCUGGGGACCUUUUUCCUUGAGCAAAAAUUGCUCAAAGAAGAAUUAUGUGUUAUUCAAGCAAUCUGAAAACCAAAUCUCUUUUGAC
Molecule: long non-coding RNA, 439 nt
Organism: Bos indicus x Bos taurus (hybrid cattle)
Lineage: Eukaryota; Metazoa; Chordata; Mammalia; Artiodactyla; Bovidae
Source: Ensembl